UGCUAUAGAUGAGAUGUCUGGUGCUUUGCGACUAAAACUUGAGAAGCUUAAAAGGGAAUCCGGUGCGAAAUAAUAACUUUUAUUCCGGAGCUGCCUCCGCAACUGUAAACGGCGAAUGUUUCAUUCAAUAUGCCACUGAAGCAAUCUGCUUUGGGAAGGUCGAAUGAAAUGUAAUGACCCGUAAGUCAGGAGACCUGCCGACAAACUAAUAACAAA
This 216-nucleotide non-coding RNA is filed under the name unidentified. The record is from RNAcentral.